CUGGUCAGGUGGGGCUUUAAGA
RNAcentral lists this microRNA (22 nucleotides) under Heligmosomoides polygyrus. Its description in RNAcentral is "hpo-miR-10107-5p". Lineage: Eukaryota; Metazoa; Nematoda; Chromadorea; Rhabditida; Heligmosomidae. The record is from miRBase by way of RNAcentral.